AGUGAGCCGCCCGCCUCGGCCUCCCAAAGUGCUGGGAUUACAGUGUCUUCUCUGGAAGUCACACAUUGGCCACUGACAACAGGAGAGAAGACAAAGAGAGGCAACAAGAGACUAUUUCCAGUGUAAAAUAUGAUCAGGUAACUCAGCACACUUUUCAUGGGCAUGUGGGGUAGGCAAAGGUGGGGUGCCCUGCUGAAGGGUACAAAGAAGCUAGCUCAUCCUUUGGAAUGACACUUAAGCCUCCCACGUUAUUUCUAUCUUGGAUAAUAAUAAUUCUGCAUUUGAAAUGAAUGGUUGGAAUGCAUUCUCUUUGAUAAAAUAUGCACAGAGUUUUAGAGCUAGAGCUUAACAAUCCAAGCCCUUCAUUUUAUAGAUGAAAAAAUAAAUCCCAGAGGGGUCAAAUAACUUGAGUUAAUUCCUCAAGAUAGUUAGUGGCAGAACUGGAACCAGAGCUCAGAUCUACCUGUUCCUAAUUAAGCAUAUUUUCUAAUGGAGAUAUUCCUGUGCUUGCUUUGACGUCACACUUAACCUUUCUCCCCAAUUUCUGUUUCCUGGUUAUUGUGAAGAUUAAAUCUAAUAAUGUAUGUUAAGAAUGUUCCUGAACCUCUAAAAGCCUUAAAAAAUCCUGGCAGCCUUACUGUUAUUCUAAUAAAUGCUCCAAAUAACGGAAGUUUCAAAAGGAUGUAUAUUGUGCCGUUUUGUGGAGUUUUGUAUGAAAUGCAUCCUUUUCUGUUUUCCAGUGAUAUUGACAUAAUUCUGCUCCAAUGAACUACUAUUCCUAUCUCAAAUGACUUCUUUGGUAGGAACAAAAAUUAACAGUUAAUACAAAAAAAAAAGACACAGGGAGUGUUCAAAACGGAGAAUGGCAGAAUGUCUUAAAAGUUACCCAGACACAAAUGCCAAUGCUUAAUUUUUAUUUUAAAAUAAAGUAUUCAGCAUCUAGAAAAUAACCUUAAAUGCACAAGCCUUGUUCAUGAUCGUAACCCCUCCCUUUCUUCCACUUAUCUACUAGAAAAUUUGCUAGUCUUUCAUGUUUCUGCUUUAUUCGUUUAUUUCUUUCCUUAAGCAAGUAUUUAUUGGAACACUACUAUGUGCCAAUACUGUGGUUACAGCAAUGAAUACAAGAAGAUUCUAUAGAGAGAAUCAGGGGCAAUUAUAAGUCAUGGAAAGAACAAGGGUAGCAAAAGUACUGUAGAGAAGCAAGGAAAAUAGAAUUUAGUAAAACUUGAAACAUUCAGAUCUUCCAUUAUUAAGAUAUUCUGUUAAGAGUAUAAUUGAGGGAUUUGAGUGAAACCAGAGGUUUAAAAAUCAUCUUUGAAUUUUUAAAACUCAAAGGUUUUAGUCUAUCUUGACCAAAGAUAUUGAAAGAUGGCUACCAUUCGAAUUCAUUUAAAAUGUCUUCUCUGAUUAAUUUUUACUUUGUGAAUGUGAUUCGUUUCUUUAAUUUGGAAAUAAUGAAUAAAGAGCUAGAUUCUAAAUUUCCUUGGAUUUGAGGACUGAUAAAACAUUUCCCAUUACUAAAAUAUUAUCUAUUAAAACUGAAAAACUUGGGUUGAAAUCUUUGGAUGCAUCAACAAUACGAUCAAUAGCCAUGAUUAAAGAUAAACAGUGACAUGACGAGGCAAAGAGUAUUGAUAGAUAUGGUUUGGAAAUAGGAAAACUAUGAAUGCAUUGCAGAUAGGCAUAUCAAAUAGAGAAUGUAGAAAGCAUUUUUAUAACAAGCCAUUUAAUUAAAAUAUAUGAUUCUGACUAAUACACUAAAUGGUUCUUUAUUUUAGGAUACUCAGAAUAUAUUCCCAGCUUGUUAAGACAUAAGAAAAAGUAAAUAAUUAGUGCUAUGAUCCUUAAUUGUAAGAAUGAGAACCACAGGGGAAUUAUUGUUCUAUAUUCUUUUAUGAACUAAUAAAAAAAGAGCAUAAUGAGAAAAGAUGAUGAGAUCAUCCUUUUCUGUGGGUAAUUGCAGUAAUACAUUCUAAGGACAUACCAUCUCUACAUAGAUGAAUAAGAAAUACCAAAAAUGUAAUCAAGAAUCAAAAUUAACAGAGAGGAAUUAGAAAUGUGUCAUAAUAAACAUGGGAGAGGGAGGGAUGGGUGAAGCUAAGGGAAGAAAAACAAAGCCUUCAAAGGCUGUCAUAUGUUCCUAUUGUGUACAAUCUAUGUGAACAAGGUCAGCAACAAGGAUAACAUGAACACUGAGAGAUACUGGAUAAUUUUUUAUUUCAAAAUAUAAUGAAUACAUGAAUCAUUUUUUGCAGAUACAGUGAUAGAACUAUAGACUACUGGAAAUGAAUAAGACUUUCUCUAAAAGAAAAUGAAAAUUUUGAAACAAAUUGAAUAAUGUGAAUGUAUUUUUAAGAAUUUAGAUCACAGACUUAAAUCUUGAGCUUGUCAUAAACCAAAGCAAAAUAGCAGAAAAUAAGUGACAUUGCACUUAUCAUAGGACCUCAAAUUCUAUUGUUUUGAGAUCUGCAGGC
Sapajus apella (tufted capuchin) is the source of this 2474-nucleotide long non-coding RNA. RefSeq lists it as uncharacterized. NCBI's taxonomy places the organism in Eukaryota, Metazoa, Chordata, Mammalia, Primates, Cebidae. The transcript is spliced from 2 exons. The record is from RefSeq and is a predicted model, not a curated record.